UGGUCUUGCUUCAGUAACCGAUAUAAUAAAAUUGUAUCAUACAGAAAAAGUUAGCAUGGCCCCUGUAUAAAAAAUGGCAUGCACAUUUGAAACUUGUUUCAUACUUAC
Non-coding RNA from Erinaceus europaeus (western European hedgehog), 108 nucleotides. Lineage: Eukaryota; Metazoa; Chordata; Mammalia; Eulipotyphla; Erinaceidae. The record is from Rfam.